Molecule: ribosomal RNA, 301 nt
Filed under: uncultured bacterium
Lineage: Bacteria
Description: partial 16S ribosomal RNA
Rfam family: Bacterial small subunit ribosomal RNA
Source: RNAcentral
CAGUAGCCGCGGGAAUACGUAGGGUGCGAGCGUUAAUCGGAAUUACUGGGCGUAAAGCGUGCGCAGGCGGUUGUGUAAGACAGGUGUGAAAUCCCCGGGCUUAACCUGGGAACUGCGCUUGUGACUGCACAGCUAGAGUAUGGCAGAGGGGGGUGGAAUUCCGCGUGUAGCAGUGAAAUGCGUAGAUAUGCGGAGGAACACCGAUGGCGAAGGCAAUCCCCUGGGCCUGCACUGACGCUCAUGCACGGAAGCGUGGGGAGCAAACAGGAUUAGAUACCCGUGAGUCCCUGUCUCUUAUACA